RNAcentral lists this ribosomal RNA (491 nucleotides) under uncultured bacterium. RNAcentral's name for it is "partial 16S ribosomal RNA". It matches the Rfam family "Bacterial small subunit ribosomal RNA", at positions 29 to 507 of the family's 1533-position model. The record is from RNAcentral.
AUGAACGCUAGCUACAGGCUUAACACAUGCAAGUCGAGGGGAAACGACAUCGAAAGCUUGCUUUUGAUGGGCGUCGACCGGCGCACGGGUGAGUAACGCGUAUCCAACCUGCCCAUCACUUGGGAAUAACCUAGCGAAAGUAACACUAAUACCCAAUGAUAUCCCACGAAGGCAUCGGAAUGGGAUUAAAGAUUUAUCGGUGAUGGAUGGGGAUGCGUCUGAUUAGCUUGUUGGCGGGGUAACGGCCCACCAAGGCAACGAUCAGUAGGGGUUCUGAGAGGAAGGUCCCCCACAUUGGAACUGAGACACGGUCCAAACUCCUACGGGAGGCAGCAGUGAGGAAUAUUGGUCAAUGGGCGAGAGCCUGAACCAGCCAAGUAGCGUGCAGGAAGACGGCCCUAUGGGUUGUAAACUGCUUUUAUAAGGGAAUAAAGUGGGUCACGUGUGACUUUUUGCAUGUACCUUAUGAAUAAGGACCGGCUAAUUCCGUG